GACGAACGCUGGCGGCGUGCUUAACACAUGCAAGUCGAACGGUGAAACGCCUUCCUUUUUGGUGUGUGUGGAUGGGUGGCGAACUGGUGAGUAACACGUGAGUAACCUUCCCCGUUCUUCUUGAUAACCGCAUGAAAGUGUUGCUAAUACGGGAUAUUCUGGAUCUGUCGCAUGAUGGGUCUGGGAAAGAUAUUGUUUCGGUGGGGGAUGGGCUCGCGGCCUAUCAGCUUGUUGGUGGGGUGAUGGCCUACCAAGGCGGUGACGGGUAGCCGGCCUGAGAGGGUGGACGCUCAGACUGGGAGUGAGAGACGGGACAGACUCGUACGGGAGGCAGAGGUGGGGAAUAUUGCAGAACGAGAGCCAGACGGAGGAACGGACGGUGAGUGAGGGAUGGCUGCGGUUGGGAUAUGACUCUUAUUAGCGAGGGACGCAGGCGUGCGUAGUUAGUCGGUGGUUGGACGGUAGCUGGCUAAGAAGCGCGGGUUAAUUACGU
RNAcentral lists this ribosomal RNA (493 nucleotides) under uncultured bacterium. RNAcentral describes it as "partial 16S ribosomal RNA". It matches the Rfam family "Bacterial small subunit ribosomal RNA", at positions 28 to 506 of the family's 1533-position model. The record is from RNAcentral.